AAUCAACGCUGGCGGCGUGCCUCAGACAUGCAAGUCGUACGAUUAAAGCUCUCUUCGGAGAGUGUAUAGAGUGGCGCACGGGUGAGUAACACGUAAGUAAUCUACCUUCGAGUGGGGAAUAACAGUCGGAAACGACUGCUAAUACCGCAUAAUGCAGCGGCACCUAAUGGUGACAGUUGUCAAAGCAUUUAUGUGCUUGAAGAGGAGCUUGCGGCAGAUUAGCUAGUUGGUAAGGUAAUAGGCUUACCAAGGCAACGAUCUGUAGCCGACCUGAGAGGGUGGUCGGUCACACUGACACUGAAUAACGGGUCAGACUCCUACGGGAGGCAGCAGUCGGGAAUUUUGGGCAAUGGGCGAAAGCCUGACCCAGCAACGCCGCGUGAAGGAUGAAGUAUUUCGGUAUGUAAACUU
This 411-nucleotide ribosomal RNA is filed under the name uncultured bacterium. RNAcentral's name for it is "bacterial SSU rRNA". It matches the Rfam family "Bacterial small subunit ribosomal RNA", at positions 32 to 432 of the family's 1533-position model. The record is from RNAcentral.